This is a long non-coding RNA of Archocentrus centrarchus (flier cichlid), 1645 nucleotides long. RefSeq lists it as uncharacterized. Lineage: Eukaryota; Metazoa; Chordata; Actinopteri; Cichliformes; Cichlidae. The transcript has 3 exons. The record is from RefSeq and is a predicted model, not a curated record.
GAUUUCCUAUAAAUUUCUUAAAUUUGACCUAUGUCUUCCAUAUGCCUGAAUUACACAUUUCUAGGUUAGUUAUUUGCAUUUGGAGAGUACUUUGAAAGUACUUUAGUAAGACAUUUUGUAAAAUACCAUCAGCUAAUCAGCACAGUCACAAAAAUUUAAAAUAUUAUUAUUGUUGUUUAUUGAUAUUUAAUGUAUUAAUUCAUGUAUUCAUUAUGUUUUACCAAAUGGCAUAUUUUGUUCAAAGGGUGUGUCGAAGACAUAAUAGAUUCAUGUCCAAAUCCAUAAGAGAUGGGUCUAUUUUCUCAGGCUCUCGCUCCUCCUUGACUUCUUGGAUGAUGUUCAUGCAUAGGUUUGCACAAGGGCUAAGACUGAGGCAAGUGGACUUAAUUGAAGAGGGAGUCUGUGGAAGCAGCCGCACUUUGUCCAAGAUGUCCAAGACACUAAGGAGGGUGUGUGUGCAAGCAGUUAAGCACCUGAAGAGGAGGGGGAAAAUGAGAAUAGGUGGAAGACAUGGUUUUGUUGUCAUUGAUGAGAGCAAGUUUUGUCACAAGAGAAAGUAUGCACGCGGGCGAUUUGGUGCUACUUGGCGCAGGAGAGGCUGGGUUUUUGGAUUGUUGGAAGUCAAUCAACGGAGAAGGAGGCCUGUGUUGAAAUUUGUUCGCAGACGAAAUUCUGAAAGACUACUUCCUAUUAUACAGCGAUAUGUUAGACCUGCAAGUACAAUUUUGAGUGACUCUUGGCGUUCCUACUGCAGACUGAGGCAACAUGGGUAUAUACACUACCAAGUCAAUCACCAGAGGUUUUUUGUUCACCCUGCCACAGGAGCACAUACCCAGCAUAUAGAAAGGUCCUGGAGAACCUUUAAGCAAGAGGUGUACCGUUUCAGAGGCAACAUGACUGAGAAGUCACUGAGAGAGAUCCUACAUUUUAUUGAGUGGAACUACUGGCUGGGUAGACAACACAGAAAUGGACCCCUUGGUCGCCUUUUCAAGGAUAUAAGAGCCAUACAUCCAGUACAAUAACAUCACCCCUGUGGCUGGAGCCUUUUUGCAUGGAGUUUGUAUGUUAUCUCCAGAUCUGUGUGGGCUCUCUCUGGCUACUCUGGCUUCCUCCCACAGUCAUGCAUGGGGUUAGAUAAAUUGGUGAUUAGCUCUAGGUCUGACUGUGUAAAUUGACCCUAGUUGUAAAUGUGAAUAGUUCGUCUCGGCAUUAGCCCGAUGACAGACUGGUGACCUGUCCAAUGUGUAGCCCAUCUCCCGCAAAUGACAGCUGAGACAGGGUCCAGCUCCCCUGGAAAAAAUGCAUAGAUGGAUGGCAUUUUGUUUUUGUGUAUUGGACAUUUAAAAUAUGUAUUCCAUUGUCAUCCAGAUAUAAAAUGUGCUGUGACAGAGGAUCUUCUACACUCCUAUGCAAUUUCAAAAACUAUUUUAAAUAGACCUCUUAGCUAUGCUUAAUAUUGUGAUCCUCAAACAAAUACAAUGCAGUUAUUUUCCAGCGAGCUUUUAAUGAGUGUUUUAUGCAUGUUUAUUUUUUUAAAUCUAAUACUUAAUGUUUUUCAAACAGGUAGUUUAGCAUUUUCCAUGUGUUUCCAGUUCAUCAUCAGAACUCUUGACUUUUGUUUUAUUCAGUGAUUAACUUGGCAAUA